UUAAAGGGUGUGUAGGCGGGUAUUUAAGUCAGUGGUGAAAUCUCCGAGCUCAACUCGGAAACUGCCAUUGAUACUAUUUAUCUUGAAUAUUGUUGAGGUAGGCGGAAUAUGUCAUGUAGCGGUGAAAUGCUUAGAUAUGACAUAGAACACCGAUUGCGAAGGCAGCUUGCUAAACAAUUAUUGACGCUGAGGCACGAAAGCGUGGGGAUCAAACAGGAUUAGAUACCCGU
RNAcentral lists this ribosomal RNA (230 nucleotides) under uncultured bacterium. RNAcentral's name for it is "partial 16S ribosomal RNA". It matches the Rfam family "Bacterial small subunit ribosomal RNA", at positions 561 to 789 of the family's 1533-position model. The record is from RNAcentral.